This 68-nucleotide transfer RNA is filed under the name Baronia brevicornis. Its description in RNAcentral is "tRNA-Trp". The record is from RNAcentral. Lineage: Eukaryota; Metazoa; Arthropoda; Insecta; Lepidoptera; Papilionidae.
AAGGUUUUAAGUUAAAAUUAAACUAAUAAUCUUCAAAAUUAUUUAUAAAUAAAUUUCUUUAAGCCUUA